This 253-nucleotide ribosomal RNA is filed under the name uncultured bacterium. RNAcentral describes it as "partial 16S ribosomal RNA". It matches the Rfam family "Bacterial small subunit ribosomal RNA", at positions 524 to 776 of the family's 1533-position model. The record is from RNAcentral.
UACGAAAGAGGCCAGCGUCGCUCGGAAUUACUGGGCGUAAAGCGCACGUAGGCGGCCUGCCAAGUUAGGGGUGAAAGCCCAGAGCUCAACUCUGGAAUUGCCUCUAAAACUGGUAAGCACGAGGAUGUGAGAGGUGAGUGGAAUUCCGAGUGUAGAGGUGAAAUUCGUAGAUAUUCGGAAGAACACCGGUGGCGAAGGCGACUCACUGGCACAUAUCUGACGGUGAGGUGCGAAAGCGUUGGGAGCAAACAGG